CAGUCGCCGCGGUAAUACGAAGGGGGCUAGCGUUGCUCGGAAUGACUGGGCGUAAAGGGCUCGCAGGCGGUUUCUUAAGUCUGAUGUGAAAGCCCCCGGCUCAACCGGGGAGGGUCAUUGGAAACUGGGAAACUUGAGUGCAGAAGAGGAGAGUGGAAUUCCACGUGUAGCGGUGAAAUGCGUAGAGAUGUGGAGGAACACCAGUGGCGAAGGCGACUCUCUGGUCUGUAACUGACGCUGAGGAGCGAAAGCGUGGGGAGCGAACAGGAUUAGAUACCCCCGUAGUCCCUGUCUCUUAUAC
Molecule: ribosomal RNA, 301 nt
Filed under: uncultured bacterium
Lineage: Bacteria
Description: partial 16S ribosomal RNA
Rfam family: Bacterial small subunit ribosomal RNA
Source: RNAcentral